GCCAACAAAGGCUCAGCCACCUCAGCUGUGCCUCUGCCGCUUGGGCGGCUCACCAGCCAGCCUCUGAAGCAGAUCAUGCCAUCCUUUCUUUUUUAAAACCCAUGUCAUCACCAGAUCAUAACGGAAAUCAAUCUCCUCAAACCAUCAUGCAAAGGCAAAGGCGUAUCCAUAGCAACCCCAAAGGAAGGACACAGAGAUGCUCCAGUGGCUGCAGCAAAAAAAAGAGGUUAUCCUUAUCUGUUUAAAUACAGUACAAGACAGGCUUUGACAGCACAGUAGGCUAAGAACGCCAAUUUCUGACACAGUUCUUCCAUUCUCAGUACCUUUUAAGUACACCAGGGUAACAAGGGGCCAGCAGCCGCUUGCAGCUCUCUGCGCUGCUGUAAAUGGAUUUCAGUCUAAAGACCUGCCUCUUUGAAAUCAGCAAUUUCGCAUCUGUGUGCUUUAGCUGUCGUCCAGCCCACAGUGACGAGAGGCGUGUGUACAAGACAACUACACAAGGAUCGUUUUGUAAGCCUAGUUGGACCCCAGGACAAGGCAUACUCACACAUCAAACGCAUUUCCAGACACCCCCCCCCCCACGUCUGAACCCUCUAGGAUUAACUUUUGUCUUCAUUUAACACAAAUUCCUAAACACGUGCCCACAGAAAGCCUGCGCUCAGUUCGGUGUCACAGUAAGCAGGGGCCCCUGGCAAAUAUGAAGGAGAGUGGGCAAGCCU
RNAcentral lists this long non-coding RNA (719 nucleotides) under Mus caroli (Ryukyu mouse). RNAcentral's name for it is "lncRNA (MGP_CAROLIEiJ_G0003884.1)". Lineage: Eukaryota; Metazoa; Chordata; Mammalia; Rodentia; Muridae. The record is from RNAcentral.